RNAcentral lists this ribosomal RNA (274 nucleotides) under uncultured bacterium. Its description in RNAcentral is "partial 16S ribosomal RNA". It matches the Rfam family "Bacterial small subunit ribosomal RNA", at positions 523 to 796 of the family's 1533-position model. The record is from RNAcentral.
AUACGGAGGGUGCAAGCGUUAUCCGGAAUCAUUGGGUUUAAAGGGUCCGCAGGCGGACUGAUAAGUCAGUGGUGAAAUCCCGUAGCUUAACUACGGAACUGCCAUUGAAACUGUCAGUCUUGAAUUCGGUCGAAGUGGGCGGAAUGUGUCAUGUAGCGGUGAAAUGCAUAGAUAUGACACAGAACACCGAUAGCGAAGGCAGCUCACUAGGCCUGAAUUGACGCUCAGGGACGAAAGCGUGGGGAGCGAACAGGAUUAGAAACCCCAGUAGUCC